UACGGGAGGCAGCAGUGGGGAAUAUUGCACAAUGGAGGAAACUCUGAUGCAGCAACGCCGCGUGGAGGAUGACGCAUUUCGGUGUGUAAACUCCUUUUAUAUAGGAAGAUAAUGACGGUACUAUAUGAAUAAGCACCGGCUAACUCCGUGCCAGCAGCCGCGGUAAU
Molecule: ribosomal RNA, 167 nt
Filed under: epsilon proteobacterium Q1-E10
Lineage: Bacteria; Pseudomonadati; Campylobacterota
Also listed under: 1 other name
Description: partial 16S ribosomal RNA
Rfam family: Bacterial small subunit ribosomal RNA
Source: RNAcentral